Callithrix jacchus (white-tufted-ear marmoset) is the source of this 133-nucleotide small nucleolar RNA. NCBI's taxonomy places the organism in Eukaryota, Metazoa, Chordata, Mammalia, Primates, Cebidae. The record is from Ensembl.
UAGCAAGCCUCCAGCAUGCUUGGGUCUGCAGUGACUCUGUGCAUUUAUAUAGUGCUUGCCGGAACAGAUUUGAAAUGGUUUGAGGCCUUGCCCUGCUCCGUGUAGAUCAAGGUUAUAGAAAUUUCAGACAAUG